RNAcentral lists this ribosomal RNA (442 nucleotides) under uncultured bacterium. Its description in RNAcentral is "partial 16S ribosomal RNA". It matches the Rfam family "Bacterial small subunit ribosomal RNA", at positions 338 to 795 of the family's 1533-position model. The record is from RNAcentral.
CCUACGGGAGGCAGCAGUGGGGAAUAUUGGGCAAUGGACGCAAGUCUGACCCAGCAACGCCGCGUGAAGGAAGAAGGCUUUCGGGUUGUAAACUUCUUUUAAGGGGGAAGAGCAGAAGACGGUACCCCUUGAAUAAGCCACGGCUAACUACGUGCCAGCAGCCGCGGUCAUACGUAGGUGGCAAGCGUUGUCCGGAUUUACUGGGGGUAAAGGGCGUGCAGCCGGAGAGACAAGUCAGAUGUGAAAUCCACGGGCUCAACCCGUGAACUGCAGUUGAAACUGUUGUCCUUGAGUGUUGGAGAGGUAAUCGGAAUUCCUUGUGUAGCGGUGAAAUGCGUAGAUAUAAGGAAGAACACCAGUGGCGAAGGCGGAAUACUGGACGAUAACUGACGGUGAGGCGCGAAAGCGUGGGGAGCAAACAGGAUUAGAUACCCUUGUAGUC